CAACGACCCAGGCUGUGUGAAAAUAAACACACAAUCAUUUUUGUCAUUCACUUAUCGUCACGUAAAUAACGACACAGGCAUAGCCUUAAUUAUCAUGUUUUAUUUGUCACAUAAAUAACGGCACAGGCAUAGUCUAUAUUAUCAUGUUUUAUUUAAGAUUCAUGCAAGCCAUUUUCACACUUAUCGUCACGUAAAUAACGACACA
This 205-nucleotide long non-coding RNA is filed under the name Mytilus galloprovincialis (Mediterranean mussel). The record is from RNAcentral. Lineage: Eukaryota; Metazoa; Mollusca; Bivalvia; Mytilida; Mytilidae.